UACGUAGGGGGCAAGCGUUGUCCGGAAUCAUUGGGCGUAAAGCGCGUGUAGGCGGCCAGGUAAGUCCGUUCUGAAAGCCCGGGGCUCAACCCCGGGAGGCGGAUGGAUACUGCCUGGCUCGAGUCCGGAAGAGGCGAGUGGAAUUCCCGGUGUAGCGGUGAAAUGCGCAGAUAUCGGGAGGAACACCAAUGGCGAAGGCAGCUCGCUGGGACGGUACUGACGCUGAGACGCGAAAGCGUGGGGAGCAAACAGG
RNAcentral lists this ribosomal RNA (253 nucleotides) under uncultured bacterium. RNAcentral's name for it is "partial 16S ribosomal RNA". It matches the Rfam family "Bacterial small subunit ribosomal RNA", at positions 524 to 776 of the family's 1533-position model. The record is from RNAcentral.